Molecule: ribosomal RNA, 275 nt
Filed under: uncultured Actinomycetospora sp.
Lineage: Bacteria; Bacillati; Actinomycetota; Actinomycetes; Pseudonocardiales; Pseudonocardiaceae
Description: partial 16S ribosomal RNA
Rfam family: Bacterial small subunit ribosomal RNA
Source: RNAcentral
CCUACGGGAGGCUGCAGUGGGGAAUCUUGCGCAAUGGGCGAAAGCCUGACGCAGCAACGCCGCGUGGGGGAUGACGGCCUUCGGGUUGUAAACCUCUUUCGCGAUCGACGAAGCUCGUACUUCUGGUACGGGUGACGGUAGGUCGAGAAGAAGCACCGGCCAACUACGUGCCAGCAGCCGCGGUAAUACGUAGGGUGCGAGCGUUGUCCGGAAUUAUUGGGCGUAAAGAGCUCGUAGGCGGUGUGUCACGUCGGCCGUGAAAACCUGGGGCUCAA